This 2438-nucleotide ribosomal RNA is filed under the name Escherichia coli. Its description in RNAcentral is "partial 23S ribosomal RNA". It matches the Rfam family "Bacterial large subunit ribosomal RNA", at positions 398 to 2819 of the family's 2925-position model. Lineage: Bacteria; Pseudomonadati; Pseudomonadota; Gammaproteobacteria; Enterobacterales; Enterobacteriaceae. The record is from RNAcentral.
UGUGAGCUCGAUGAGUAGGGCGGGACACGUGGUAUCCUGUCUGAAUAUGGGGGGACCAUCCUCCAAGGCUAAAUACUCCUGACUGACCGAUAGUGAACCAGUACCGUGAGGGAAAGGCGAAAAGAACCCCGGCGAGGGGAGUGAAAAAGAACCUGAAACCGUGUACGUACAAGCAGUGGGAGCACAGAGCAAUCUGUGUGACUGCGUACCUUUUGUAUAAUGGGUCAGCGACUUAUAUUCUGUAGCAAGGUUAACCGAAUAGGGGAGCCGAAGGGAAACCGAGUCUUAACUGGGCGUUAAGUUGCAGGGUAUAGACCCGAAACCCGGUGAUCUAGCCAUGGGCAGGUUGAAGGUUGGGUAACACUAACUGGAGGACCGAACCGACUAAUGUUGAAAAAUUAGCGGAUGACUUGUGGCUGGGGGUGAAAGGCCAAUCAAACCGGGAGAUAGCUGGUUCUCCCCGAAAGCUAUUUAGGUAGCGCCUCGUGAAUUCAUCUCCGGGGGUAGAGCACUGUUUCGGCAAGGGGGUCAUCCCGACUUACCAACCCGAUGCAAACUGCGAAUACCGGAGAAUGUUAUCACGGGAGACACACGGCGGGUGCUAACGUCCGUCGUGAAGAGGGAAACAACCCAGACCGCCAGCUAAGGUCCCAAAGUCAUGGUUAAGUGGGAAACGAUGUGGGAAGGCCCAGACAGCCAGGAUGUUGGCUUAGAAGCAGCCAUCAUUUAAAGAAAGCGUAAUAGCUCACUGGUCGAGUCGGCCUGCGCGGAAGAUGUAACGGGGCUAAACCAUGCACCGAAGCUGCGGCAGCGACGCUGAUGCGUUGUUGGGUAGGGGAGCGUUCUGUAAGCCUGUGAAGGUGUGCUGUGAGGCAUGCUGGAGGUAUCAGAAGUGCGAAUGCUGACAUAAGUAACGAUAAAGCGGGUGAAAAGCCCGCUCGCCGGAAGACCAAGGGUUCCUGUCCAACGUUAAUCGGGGCAGGGUGAGUCGACCCCUAAGGCGAGGCCGAAAGGCGUAGUCGAUGGGAAACAGGUUAAUAUUCCUGUACUUGGUGUUACUGCGAAGGGGGGACGGAGAAGGCUAUGUUGGCCGGGCGACGGUUGUCCCGGUUUAAGCGUGUAGGCUGGUUUUCCAGGCAAAUCCGGAAAAUCAAGGCUGAGGCGUGAUGACGAGGCACUACGGUGCUGAAGCAACAAAUGCCCUGCUUCCAGGAAAAGCCUCUAAGCAUCAGGUAACAUCAAAUCGUACCCCAAACCGACACAGGUGGUCAGGUAGAGAAUACCAAGGCGCUUGAGAGAACUCGGGUGAAGGAACUAGGCAAAAUGGUGCCGUAACUUCGGGAGAAGGCACGCUGAUAUGUAGGUGAAGCGACUUGCUCGUGGAGCUGAAAUCAGUCGAAGAUACCAGCUGGCUGCAACUGUUUAUUAAAAACACAGCACUGUGCAAACACGAAAGUGGACGUAUACGGUGUGACGCCUGCCCGGUGCCGGAAGGUUAAUUGAUGGGGUCAGCGCAAGCGAAGCUCUUGAUCGAAGCCCCGGUAAACGGCGGCCGUAACUAUAACGGUCCUAAGGUAGCGAAAUUCCUUGUCGGGUAAGUUCCGACCUGCACGAAUGGCGUAAUGAUGGCCAGGCUGUCUCCACCCGAGACUCAGUGAAAUUGAACUCGCUGUGAAGAUGCAGUGUACCCGCGGCAAGACGGAAAGACCCCGUGAACCUUUACUAUAGCUUGACACUGAACAUUGAGCCUUGAUGUGUAGGAUAGGUGGGAGGCUUAGAAGUGUGGACGCCAGUCUGCAUGGAGCCGACCUUGAAAUACCACCCUUUAAUGUUUGAUGUUCUAACGUUGACCCGUAAUCCGGGUUGCGGACAGUGUCUGGUGGGUAGUUUGACUGGGGCGGUCUCCUCCUAAAGAGUAACGGAGGAGCACGAAGGUUGGCUAAUCCUGGUCGGACAUCAGGAGGUUAGUGCAAUGGCAUAAGCCAGCUUGACUGCGAGCGUGACGGCGCGAGCAGGUGCGAAAGCAGGUCAUAGUGAUCCGGUGGUUCUGAAUGGAAGGGCCAUCGCUCAACGGAUAAAAGGUACUCCGGGGAUAACAGGCUGAUACCGCCCAAGAGUUCAUAUCGACGGCGGUGUUUGGCACCUCGAUGUCGGCUCAUCACAUCCUGGGGCUGAAGUAGGUCCCAAGGGUAUGGCUGUUCGCCAUUUAAAGUGGUACGCGAGCUGGGUUUAGAACGUCGUGAGACAGUUCGGUCCCUAUCUGCCGUGGGCGCUGGAGAACUGAGGGGGGCUGCUCCUAGUACGAGAGGACCGGAGUGGACGCAUCACUGGUGUUCGGGUUGUCAUGCCAAUGGCACUGCCCGGUAGCUAAAUGCGGAAGAGAUAAGUGCUGAAAGCAUCUAAGCACGAAACUUGCCCCGAGAUGAGUUCUCCCUGAC